GAUGAACGCUGGCGGCGUGCUUACACAUGCAAGUCGAACGUGAAGCCCGGUACCUAGUAUUGGGUGGAAAGUGGCGGACGGGUGCGUAACACGUUGGUGACCUGCCCCGAGGUGGGGGAUAACCGUGGGAAACCACGGCUAAUACCCCGGAUGCCAAAGUAUUUAGAAAGCUUUGGCUAAAGCUCCGGCGCCUCGGGAGGGGCCUGCGGGCUAUCAGCUUGUUGGUGGGGUAAUGGCCUACCAAGGCAAAGACGGCUAGGGGGCGUGAGAGCGCGACCCCCCACAAUGGAACUGAGACACGGUCCAUACUCCUACGGGAGGCAGCAGUGAGGAAUAUUGCGCAAUGGGGGCAACCCUGACGCAGCAACGCCGCGUGGAUGAUGAAGGCCUUCGGGUUGUAAAAUCCUUUUCCGGGGGAAGAAUCAUGACGGUACCUCGGGAAUAAGUCCCGGCUAACUACGUGCCAGCAGCCGCGGUAAAACGUAGGGGGCGAGCGUUAUCCGGAUUUACUGGGCGUAAAGCGCACGUAGGCGGCGCUGUAAGUUGGGCGUGAAAGCUCCCGGCUCAACUGGGAGAGGUCGUUCAAAACUGCAGUGCUUGAGGUUGGAAGAGGAGAGUGGAAUUCCCGGUGUAGUGGUGGAAUGCGUAGAUAUCGGGAGGAACACCAGUGGCGAAGGCGGCUCUCUGGUCCAACCCUGACGCUGAGGCGCGAAAGCGUGGGGAGCGAACGGGAUUAGAUACCCCGGUAGUCCGCGCUGUAAACGAUGGAUACUAGGUGUGGGAGGUUACUUACCCCUUCCGUGCCGUAGCUAACGUGAUAAGUAUCCCGCCUGGGGACUACGGCCGCCAGGUUAAAACUCAAAGGAAUUGACGGGGGCCC
RNAcentral lists this ribosomal RNA (880 nucleotides) under uncultured organism. RNAcentral describes it as "bacterial SSU rRNA". It matches the Rfam family "Bacterial small subunit ribosomal RNA", at positions 28 to 922 of the family's 1533-position model. The record is from RNAcentral.